UGUUCCGACUUAUAUCAAAUUAAAAUAUGAUGUCUAUUACGAAUGACAACCCAUUCCGGGUCACCACACCCCCUACUUUCAUGGUGCAACAGAAGAGCUUCAUUCAACGUUUUUCCGCAUUCUAUGCUUAGUUAAUCACAUUGGAGAGUGACGACAUUUGUUUGGUCAGCUUCUGACGGGUCAGGCGGGUCGGGAAACUUGGCCCAUCAUCUGUUGACCAUGUCAGUGGUUCUCCAGUUCGCUUUGUCAAAGCUCCAGUUCCCGACACUGAACUCUAACCCAUUACCUCUGUUGCACCAAAAGAAUAACCAUACAUUUCACUAAUCCAGCCAGAUUCAUAGAUAUCUCCAGUUAUAUUUUUCCCGUAAUGAGCAGUGUCAGCUCUGACUUCCUCUGUUUUAUGCAACCAUAAGAUUGCGUUGCAAACUUUCUGAGAUGGUCAAUGUGCAUCACUAUCACGCCACCAAGUUUGUCACAUGCUUC
Molecule: long non-coding RNA, 483 nt
Filed under: Helianthus annuus (common sunflower)
Lineage: Eukaryota; Viridiplantae; Streptophyta; Magnoliopsida; Asterales; Asteraceae
Description: sRNA HanXRQr2_Chr10g0426761
Source: RNAcentral